Molecule: ribosomal RNA, 431 nt
Filed under: uncultured Intestinimonas sp.
Lineage: Bacteria; Bacillati; Bacillota; Clostridia; Eubacteriales
Description: bacterial SSU rRNA
Rfam family: Bacterial small subunit ribosomal RNA
Source: RNAcentral
AACGCGAAGAACCUUACCAGGAUUUGACAUCCAACUAACGAAGCAGAGAUACAUUAGGUACCCUUCGGGGGAAGUUGAGACAGGUGGUGCAUGGUUGUCGUCAGCUCGUGUCGUGAGAUGUUGGGUUAAGUCCCGCAACGAGCGCAACCCCUAUUGUUAGUUGCUACGCAAGAGCACUCUAGCGAGACUGCCGUUGACAGAACGGAGGAAGGUGGGGACGACGUCAAAUCAUCAUGCCCCUUAUGUCCUGGGCUACACACGUAAUACAAUGGCGUCCAACAAAGGGAAGCAAAACCGCGAGGUAGAGCAAAUCCCCAAAAGACGUCUCAGUUCGGAUUGCAGGCUGCAACUCGCCUGUAUGAAGUCGGAAUUGCUAGUAAUCGUGGAUCAGCAUGCCACGAUGAAUACGUUCCCGGGUCUUGUACACACGC